GACGAACGCUGGCGGCGUGCUUAACACAUGCAAGUCGAGCGGAGCGGCGAACGGGGGAGUAACGCGUGAGUAACUGGCCCCCUCUCUGGGAUAACAGUUGGAAACGGCUGCUAAUACCGGCUAGUGGGGGAUGACUCGAGACCUAUCAGCUUGUUGGUGGGGUAGUGGCCUACCAAGGCGACGACGGGUAGCCGGCCUGAGAGGGCGACCGGCAACAGUGGGCUGAGAUACGGCCCAAACUCCUACUGGAGGCAGCAGUGGGGAAUAUUGCACAAGGGGGGAAACGCUGAUGCAGAAACGCCGCGGGCGGGAUGACUGCCUUCGGGUUGUAAACCGCUUUCAGCCAUGACGCGGUAGUGGCAGAAGAAGCACCGGCUAACUACGUGCCAGCAGCCGCGGUAAUAC
This 405-nucleotide ribosomal RNA is filed under the name uncultured bacterium. RNAcentral's name for it is "partial 16S ribosomal RNA". It matches the Rfam family "Bacterial small subunit ribosomal RNA", at positions 28 to 526 of the family's 1533-position model. The record is from RNAcentral.